Molecule: long non-coding RNA, 2475 nt
Organism: Brassica oleracea var. oleracea
Lineage: Eukaryota; Viridiplantae; Streptophyta; Magnoliopsida; Brassicales; Brassicaceae
Exons: 8
Source: RefSeq, a predicted model, not a curated record
UUAGCAAUUCGUCAUCUUCUUCGUUCUAACUGGAGAACCUAUGACGAUUCAUAUCUUCUAUUCUGUUUAAUAACGUCAGAUCCAUUACUCUUUCUCAUUAAACCUCCUCUUUAAUCCAUCAAUCGGAAGACAUGCUAACGUUCAGACUCCUUUUGUUUGUGAGGUCAUAUAAACUCUUAUUCUCAUUCUCUGCUCCGCCCAAAAACUCACGAAACCUCCAAAAUUCACCCAUCGUCGAUAGACCUUCUUCUUCGUCUUCUCCGUUUCCUCAUCCUCAAAUUGAUUAUUAUAUGAUUUUGGAUGUUCUCAAUGGCACUGAUAACCUUUCUUUCUCUCUCUCUCUCUCUCAGCGACAGUCUUAUCGGAGAUUAGGCCGGAACGGCGACUGCAGAGUCGAUUAGCGCAAGAGCUCGAUCCAAGAUUCCGGAGCCGGUCAUUAGAAUCAUGACUUCCUCUCGAUUCAUAAGUUUCAAAAUACCAAUCUUAGUCCUCCUUGAAACAUAUGAAGAACACAACCGUAGCUGCUUCCAGUAUUCUCUGAAGAGUUGGUCUUUCAAUUGGUCCGCAACUGCGUCGAGCCAUUGGCAAAGUCAAAGAAUUUGAGAGAUUUGCAUCAAGAGUCACUGUCGACCGGCUUCCAUAGGAAGAGCUCACCGCCACCAAAUCACUGUCUACCGCCGCGUUAAUGGUGUUUCUGUUCAUCUUAGCCUUUGAGUGAUCGAAAGUUUUCACCUUUUUAUGAAAUAUGAUUCAAUCGUGAAUCUUGGGAAUAUCUGUUAGAUGAAGAAGCUCGGAGAACAACGAACGAUGAUAGUGUUUUGGAAGAACGAGACCCACAAUAUGAUACAAUGUUGAAUCAAAUGGUGGGGAGAAUAAAGGCUAAACCAGGAAGCAAAGCUGAGAUGGGAGAGCUGAUUGUUUCUUUAGGUGAAGAAUUCAAAAUGUUCAUGAGCUGCCGAGUUAGUUCAUAAUUUUGCUGAAGAAAGUUUCCAUGGCCACCGCUUCUGUCAUUUAUGAUUCUGUGAACUUCUCCUACUUUUUUUUUUGAUUUUGACGAUGAUGAUAUAAAUGUGCAUUUUUCCCAAGAUGAGAUUUCACGAGUUGGAGCCUGCUGUAUUGUCAAUGUCAAGAAUCAAUAUGUCAGGCCUUCUAAUGAAGAUCCACUUCAAGCUUUAAUCCAGGACACGUUUUUGGACAAAGCAGAAUCCAGUCUCCUUCUUUUCAGUUAUGUAAGUCAUACAAUUUGCUUCCAGCGCAGAGCUGUUGAGUGUCCUGCUAUUUUGGAAACCAGUGUUGAAUAGGAUUACUUCUUCAAAUUCAGUCAUGGAAACAUGAUUUCAACGUAUAAAAACUUCUCAUUAAAAAAUGAAUUUUCUGUGGUGUGAUUGACAAGGAUCAGUUUGAGGACUAUGGGUUGGCUUAUACAUACCCAAAGCUUUAUGGUUCAAGUGCUGCAGGAAACCUGCUUUCUGUUUUUAGUUGUCUCUUCACGGUUUUCCUUCGGGGUUUUUCUCUUUAUAUGGAUUUAGAGAGGACGAAGCAACUUCAAAAAUGUGAAGUGGUUUGUCAAAAAAAGUACUCUAUAAGACCUUUGGCCUUGAUGUCAAUGCGCAGAUAAAUAGGUAUUCAGAACGAUGGAGGAAAACGAAGAAAUGGAAAAGCAAAGAGAAAUGCGAGAGGAAGGAGUGGACACGGUAUCCAAAUGGAAAAAACACAAGUCAAUAAUAGAUAAUAACCCAACAUCAAAAUAAAUAAAAAAAACAUUUUAAUAAAACUGGGCCAUAAAUACAAGGACUACGUAGAAAAUGAAAACGUCAACCAAGUCCAAAAUAAGUGAUCAGUAUGUUUUUUUGAUCAAAAGUAAUUAGUGUGUAAAAGCAAAAACAAAGCUAACGAACCCCCGCUGGAGAAGAGGACCUACCAAGCUGUCUUGAAGAGCUAGCUGGCAAAGAGUUUGUGUUCCAGAUUCGUGGAACUCUUUACAAUUUCACCUAACUAUCUAAUUUAUGUUUUUAUACAAGAACUUGGAGAGAAGUAGGGAGUUAGCUACUCGGAGGCUGAGAUAAUUACUAGAUGCAAAAGAGACUAUCAUAAACUAAGGGGCGGAUCACCUCAGGUAUCAUUCCCUGAUCUCCACUAUACGAAACCUGAUGCAUACCGGAAGGAGCGAGAGGACAACAAGGCGAAGCAAUGGAUCAGAUGAGAGAAGAAAAAAGCAGGUAGCCAAAUUGAAAGAGAAUUGUGUUUAAAAAAGCAUGCUAAGGCUUCACUAAGGCGUGAGGCGAUUUUUGUUUGGGGGUUCACCGCCUCGGAGUCGUGAAGCAAGUCAAACUCAAGUAAGGGAUGCAUGUGAGGGCCCGUGUUAUGGCUGCAGCUCGUGUCAGGGCCCGUAAUCUCUCUUUAUGUUCUUUUGGUCUUGACCGUUCUUGUGAGGGAUUUUAGAUCAAUGAAGAGGCAAAUCAAUAUUUUGAAGAG